UGAGGAAUAUUGGUCAAUGGUCGGGAGACUGAACCAGCCAAGCCGCGUGAGGGAUGAAGGUGCUAAGCAUUGUAAACCUCUUUUGUCAGGGAACAAAGGCAUCCACGAGUGGAUGUGUGAGUGUACCUGAAGAAAAAGCAUCGGCUAACUCCGUGCCAGCAGCCGCGGUAAUACGGAGGAUGCGAGCGUUAUCCGGAUUUAUUGGGUUUAAAGGGUGCGUAGGCGGCCUGUUAAGUCAGCGGUAAAAGCCCGGGGCUCAACCCGGCGAGCCGUUGAAACUGGCUGGCUGGAGUUGGCGAGAGGUAUGCGGAAUGCGCGGUGUAGCGGUGAAAUGCUUAGAUAUCGCGCAGAACUCCGAUUGCGAAGGCAGCAUGCCGGCGCCACACUGACGCUGAGGCACGAAAGCGUGGGGAUCAAACAGGAUUAGAUACCC
This 433-nucleotide ribosomal RNA is filed under the name uncultured bacterium. RNAcentral's name for it is "bacterial SSU rRNA". It matches the Rfam family "Bacterial small subunit ribosomal RNA", at positions 355 to 787 of the family's 1533-position model. The record is from RNAcentral.